UACGUAGGCAGCGAGCGUUGUUCGGAGUUACUGGGCGUAAAGGGUGUGUAGGCGGUUGUUUAAGUUUGGUGUGAAAUCUCCCGGCUCAACUGGGAGGGUGCGCCGAAUACUGAAUGACUUGCAGUGCGGGAGAGGUGAGUGGAAUUCCUGGUGUAGCGGUGAAAUGCGUAGAUAUCAGGAGGAACACCGGUGGUGUAGACGGCUCACUGGACCGUAACUGACGCUGAGACACGAAAGCGUGGGUAGCAAACAGG
Molecule: ribosomal RNA, 254 nt
Filed under: uncultured bacterium
Lineage: Bacteria
Description: partial 16S ribosomal RNA
Rfam family: Bacterial small subunit ribosomal RNA
Source: RNAcentral